Molecule: long non-coding RNA, 372 nt
Filed under: Homo sapiens (human)
Lineage: Eukaryota; Metazoa; Chordata; Mammalia; Primates; Hominidae
Description: long non-coding RNA NONHSAT061046
Source: RNAcentral
UCCUGGAGGACAAGCUGCUCUGGCAGGACUCACGUUACAGACCCCUCUACCCCUUCAGCCUGCCCUACAGCGACUUCCCCCGACCCCUACCCCACGCUACCCAGGGCCCAGCGGCCACCCCGUACCACUGUUGAUGUGAAGCACCUCUUCUGAGCCAGGCCGAGCCCCUGGCCGACUUGGGAGCCUCAGGCCCACGCCCACCCUUCGAGGAAGGUGUCACCUGGACCCCUUCAUUCCACGGAGGAAGCUGAGGCCACAGGGAGCGGCCAUCGCCAUUGGGAAGGGGCGACUCCACGGAAAGCCCAGACGGGCUUCUGCAUCCAUUCCCUCUUUUUGUUUUUAAAAUAAAUUGUAUUUUUGAAUCAAGGAGGA